This 438-nucleotide long non-coding RNA is filed under the name Calidris pugnax (ruff). Its description in RNAcentral is "lncRNA (ENSCPUG00000004955.1)". The record is from RNAcentral. Lineage: Eukaryota; Metazoa; Chordata; Aves; Charadriiformes; Scolopacidae.
CUUGUUUAGAGCACAGCAGAAAGAAUCAGAACUUUGCAUCAUGAAAUCCUUGACAUUCAUACUUUUUUAAAAAGAAAAAAGAAUUUGGAUUGAUUUUGGAGAUUUUUAGGGUUUGCUUAGUGAACAGCAAUGAGCUUCACUCAAGCUUCGAACACUGACCCUUCUACUCAGGGUGCUGCUUUGAAGAUACACCCUGAGAGCUGACUUGACUGUAUCCCACUGUGUACCCUGUAAACAUGUCGUCAAGUAAUCCAUUCACCAUUCUUCACAGGAGCUUUUCCAGCCACAAACCACGAGAAAAAACUCAGCAGUCACCUCUCAGACUUCGGGACAUAAAGGAAAAAGUGAAGUUCACUGUAUGGAGGCAAUGAAACUGUCAUACCCAACUCCACAAGGAACUAAAAUAUUAUCCAGAUCCGACAAGAAAAAAUACCUGUG